This 252-nucleotide ribosomal RNA is filed under the name uncultured bacterium. RNAcentral's name for it is "partial 16S ribosomal RNA". It matches the Rfam family "Bacterial small subunit ribosomal RNA", at positions 524 to 776 of the family's 1533-position model. The record is from RNAcentral.
UACGUAGGAUGCGGGCGUUAUCCGGAUUUAUUGGGUUUAAAGGGUGCGUAGGCGGACUGUCAAGUCAGCGGUAAAAUUGAGAGGCUCAACCUCUUCCCGCCGUUGAAACUGGUGGUCUUGAGUGGAUGAGAAGUACGCGGAAUGCGUGGUGUAGCGGUGAAAUGCAUAGAUAUCACGCAGAACUCCGAUUGCGAAGGCAGCGUACCGGCAUCCAACUGACGCUGAGGCACGAAAGCGUGGGGAUCAAACAGG